UGGGGAAUAUUGGACAAUGGGGGAAACCCUGAUCCAGCAAUGCCGCGUGUGUGAAGAAGGCCUGCGGGUUGUAAAGCACUUUCAGUAGGGAAGAUAAUGACGGUACCUACAGAAGAAGCACCGGCUAAAUCCGUGCCAGCAGCCGCGGUAAUACGGAUGGUGCGAGCGUUAAUCGGAAUUACUGGGCGUAAAGCGCGCGUAGGCGGUUUAGUAAGUCGGAUGUGAAAGCCCCGGGCUUAACCUGGGAAUUGCAUUCGAUACUGCUAGACUAGAGUAUGCUAGAGGAAAGUGGAAUUUCGGGUGUAGCGGUGAAAUGCGUAGAUAUCCGAAGGAACAUCAAUGGCGAAGGCAACUUUCUGGGGCAAUACUGACGCUGAGGUGCGAAAGCGUGGGUAGCAAACAGGAUUAGAUACCCCCGUAGUCC
Molecule: ribosomal RNA, 424 nt
Filed under: uncultured prokaryote
Description: bacterial SSU rRNA
Rfam family: Bacterial small subunit ribosomal RNA
Source: RNAcentral